Molecule: long non-coding RNA, 375 nt
Organism: Phyllostomus discolor (pale spear-nosed bat)
Lineage: Eukaryota; Metazoa; Chordata; Mammalia; Chiroptera; Phyllostomidae
Exons: 2
Source: RefSeq, a predicted model, not a curated record
CACUGCGGGGCGGGGAACAGACAGACGGAGGGCCCGAGCUCCAAAACCGGCUCCCGGCCCCGGACGGACCCAGACUGGCCAGCGGGGCCUCGUGUGGACCAGGCACGCGGGUGUCUGGCCGGUGGGGACGCCAGGGACAGAGACACAGGCGGGCCUGGAGGAGGCCCGGGAGGAGUUCAAGUCCGAAGCCGGGGAUCCGGCCCCACGCGGCCUCCCCGAGAAACGUUUCCGAAACGAACUUUUCAUACAGCAGAGUUCCUGUCUACCAGCGUGAGGUGCAGUCUAAAGCCGUGUUGAAUUUUGUGACUGUAACGUUAACAAUCCAGUGGAGGAGAAGGAUUCUAGCCUUCCUAUAAAUAUAUUGAACAUGGAGAA